RNAcentral lists this unclassified non-coding RNA (334 nucleotides) under uncultured Hyphodontia. RNAcentral describes it as "sequence contains ITS1". The stretch from base 1 to 106 matches the Rfam family "5.8S ribosomal RNA", at positions 50 to 154 of the family's 154-position model. Lineage: Eukaryota; Fungi; Basidiomycota; Agaricomycetes; Corticiales; Corticiaceae. The record is from RNAcentral.
GAAAUGCGAUAAGUAAUGUGAAUUGCAGAAUUCAGUGAAUCAUCGAAUCUUUGAACGCACCUUGCGCUCCUGGACUUGUUUCAGGAGCAUGCCUGUUUGAGUGUCAUGAAAUCAUCAACCACGAUGCCUUUGUGUGUCGCGGCUUGGAGUUGGGGAUCUGCUGGCGCAAGUCGGCUUCCCUUGAAUGCAUUAGUCGGGCGCUCUCGCUCCGAGAAGUGUGAUAAACUAUCAUUCACUGAUCGGCGAGGGGCUAUGUCCGGGCUUCUAACCGCAUGAAUGCAUGCACUUUGACAUAUCUGACCUCAAAUCAGGUAGGACUACCCGCUGAACUUAA